Molecule: long non-coding RNA, 1347 nt
Organism: Dendronephthya gigantea
Lineage: Eukaryota; Metazoa; Cnidaria; Anthozoa; Malacalcyonacea; Nephtheidae
Exons: 4
Source: RefSeq, a predicted model, not a curated record
GUGCAAUGGUAAAUAUAAAAGCAUUCUGAUCACGACUUAAAUGUAUUUUUUCCCGCUCACUCCAAUAAUACCAAUUAGACCACGAGGAUGUGUUGGCCUAUUUGUUUCAGUAUAGACUAUAGCAUUUACUGAGAACUUGGAAACACAGAACAAAAAUAAACAGAAAUAUUAAAUUUUGAUAACUUAUUCCCCAGGAAGGACGCGCCAGGUCACGCGAUUAAAAUAUGCCACAAUGUUAGAAGUGACAAGUUUCAACUUUCAGCUGGUAAUCCAUGGUUUUGAAUAUCUGCAAACUUUUACGAAAGAAAAUAAAGAAAAAUACUACCUAUCUAUUACUAGGUUUAUACUAAAUACUUUUAAAUCUAUAGGUAUGUUUUUAUUAGGUAUGAUAUUACUCAUGCAGGCAAGUUCGUUAAUAUGGCGGCCAUCGGAAAGAACGUUACUUAUCGAUAUCGUUGAUUAACAGUCGAGACACUCGUAUCCGACAGAGUAAUCUAAAUAUUCAUCUGAAAACAGAUAUAUCCUUUUCAGAAGUGUCAAACUGCAUUAUUUUUGACAUUUUUAGUCCCACGAAUAGCAUAUAUUCGGGUCAACAACACAACUCGAAGUUUUAAAAUCUUUACGUUUCAGACUACAAACUGAGGUAAUUAUAUUCUCCCAACAAAUGGAGAUCCGUAUGAAUGUUUGCCUGUUGCUGAUUAUUUUUGUGGCAUUUUCUGCGGUUAAUGGCCGUAGUGAUUCUGCAAGUGAAUCAACAAGUGAAUCUGCAGAAGAAUUCCGCUGUGGGUCUAACGGUUUUUGCGGAUUUGAACCUGUGGUGUGUCCUUCUUGGGCAGAGAGAUGUCCAGGUGAUUGUCCAUUGCCAUAUCUUUGCUGUUGCCCAUAAUUCUCACUUCGAAAAUAAAGCUGGUCUAUAACAAAGCGGUUAUAAAAUGUAACCUGUCAAGUUUACUAUGAUUAAUUACAUAAAGGCGUAGACAAAAAAAUCCAGUGUGCAAUUGCAUUUAUUGUAUCAUAAUUGCAUGGGUGUACAUAUAUCAUUGUGUGAAAUAUAACCUCCACAUUUUUCCACGCUUGAUAUCGCUAUUUUUCAACGGUUUUUCAUUGAGUUGGAACCUACAACCUGGCGGUUCACAUUGUCUAGUGCAUGAAAAUAAAAAUAAAAAUAUACAGAUAUGCAAAGCUAUAAACGAGUGCCAUAAAACAGGAGUAAUUUAUAUAUAUCUAAAAAUAUUUGUUGACAUAAUAACGAUAAAGAAAUUUAUCUCGUGCUAAAAACUAAGCGAAUUGGUAAGGUCUCGGGUAAGGUUAUACCGAGCUUGAGAUUGAGAAUGGGGUAGUGUGGCA